Molecule: long non-coding RNA, 879 nt
Filed under: Gallus gallus (chicken)
Lineage: Eukaryota; Metazoa; Chordata; Aves; Galliformes; Phasianidae
Description: lncRNA (ENSGALG00010019492.1)
Source: RNAcentral
CAACUGUUAAGUCCCAGCCUGAACCACUGAUUCAGCACCUGGGGAAAGGACCCGGUCAGCCCUGGGAGCACAGGUGAAGGCAAUUCGGCUGUGUGACCAGAAGGGGUGGAGCCUGGCUGCACCUCUCUUAGACCUCAUUUAAGUGCUGACUGCCCCUGGGGAAGGGUCUCUUUCUGGAGAUCCCUCCUUGGUGGAUUUUUCCCCUCUGAACCUGGAAUCUUCUGGUAUGGAAAGAGCUCAGCACAAAUGUGACAGGGGCUUGAAUGUCCCUGAUGCUGUGAUGGGGGGUGGGACCCCAGUCAGCCCUGUCCUGGCAGUGUGACCCCUGGAGGAGGUAGAGAGGUUGUGGUGCAGCAUGGGAGAGCAAUGUGCACCUGCUGGAGGAGGAGAAGAAAAUGGGGAGCCCCAAACUGCUGGAGUGUUAAUGAACUCUGGUGCUUCUGGUGUCUCCUGUGUUUGUUUUUCCUUGCUGAGCCCAACCGUAAAUAUAAAGCAAAUAUAAAUGCUUAUGUACCAGUAAUGUCUUGUUUUCCCUCUCUCUUCCCAAAGUCACCCUGCUGUACUGUGAACCCCCAACAUAUUGUUAAUUAGGAAUGAAUCAGUGUGCCUCUGAUUAAAAUCCUUCCUACUUCAUGGCUUUUAACUAACUACAGUGUCUCUGGGUUUGUGCCAGCUUUGGUUUUAAACCUUUGAAGAAUCUCUAAUCCGCACAGCACAGACCAGCCAAUUAUUUUUUGUUAUAAACAGUAAAUAUCUAUCGAACAUAGAUAUUUUUGUUGCAGAUAAGGAUGCUCCUUGAGGAGCUCAGUAUCCUUCUCCAUAAUUUGCUGGGGUAGAAAAUACCUGAGAUGUACUUUAAUCAACUUUGUACUGUGUGGG